AAAGAUUCCAAAGUGGAAAGAUUCCUUUCUAAAAGAAUUUAAAAUCAACUGGAUCAAAAAAGCGAAGCUUGCAAUUCGAUGAGAAUAUCGGGGUGGUACUUGGAAUGAUUAUUUUUAUAAAAACAGCAAUUGAUUGAUCAUGGUUUUCCAGGCCUUCCUUUGCCUCAUUUUAUUACAAUGAUGAUCUCAAGAAUUCCUAACCAACUAUGUCACUUACUUAAUCCCAGUAAUAUGAAGAAUAGGGAGGAUUUGAAGAUGGCUAUUUCCAGACUUCUUUAUUUAUCUGAGAAUAGUGGGAUGAUUGCUGAGAGGAAGAAGAUUAACCAAAAAGAGUCUUUUAUUGCUAGUGAGUUUGAUACAAUAAAAGAUAAGUCAACAU
RNAcentral lists this long non-coding RNA (379 nucleotides) under Androctonus crassicauda. Lineage: Eukaryota; Metazoa; Arthropoda; Arachnida; Scorpiones; Buthidae. The record is from RNAcentral.